Molecule: ribosomal RNA, 164 nt
Filed under: uncultured bacterium
Lineage: Bacteria
Description: partial 16S rRNA
Rfam family: Bacterial small subunit ribosomal RNA
Source: RNAcentral
UAGGGAAUCUUCCACAAUGGGCGAAAGCCUGAUGGAGCAACGCCGCGUGUGUGAUGAAGGGUUUCGGCUCGUAAAACACUGUUGUAAGAGAAGAAUGACAUUGAGAGUAACUGUUCAGUGUGUGACGGUAUCUUACCAGAAAGGAACGGCUAAAUACGUGUCAG